Molecule: non-coding RNA, 510 nt
Organism: Apodemus sylvaticus (European woodmouse)
Lineage: Eukaryota; Metazoa; Chordata; Mammalia; Rodentia; Muridae
Source: the annotation of a RefSeq genome assembly
AGUUGAGAGCAUCACUCUGGUGACACUGAAGAUGAACUCUUCCCCAGCUUUAGUGACUGUGAUGCUGUUCAUACUUGGGAGGACUCAUGGAGACUCAGUGAUCCAGAUACAAGAUCAAGUGACCCUCUCAGAAAAUGACUUCUUAUUUAUAAACUGCACUUAUUCAACCACAGGGUACCCCAUUCUCUUCUGGUAUGUCCAAUAUUCUGGAGAAGGUCCACAGCUCCUUCUGCAAGUCACAACAGCCAACAACAGGGGAAGCAACAGAGGUUUUGAAGCUAUGUAUGAUAAAGGGACCACUUCCUUCCACUUGCAGAAAGCCUCAGUGCAUGUGUCAGAUUCAGCUGUGUACUACUGUGCUAUGAGAGACACAGUGGCAGGAACUGCAGGGGAAGCUGAGCAUAAAGUCUGAGAAGCAAAAGAAAGUCUUACUUUUGAUAAUUUUCCUUUUGAAUCAUCCUGUUUUCACACAGUCUGUGUUGUGUACCCCAGUAUUUCUCUGGUUGAUGA